GGGUAUGGAUCAUAGGUAGCAAAUGUCGCACCUGAUGGUCCCAUAGAUUAGGACAARCGAGGGGUGCGAAAGCCCGGAGUCGCAGUCCUUGUCGGGUCCUCCGGCGGAAGCGGUGACCACAAGGAGGGCUAUAGAUGCGUAWAGUGGUGAUGUGGCCCUUAAGGUGGAGGGAGAUGACGGGAGAUCGGGUUGUCAUAAGCCUACUGUGGAGGGUCAACUCGGCCCUCUAAAGUGUAGGUUGAACUUUUUGGCGGAUGCGGGAGAAAUGCGGGUCAUUUAGGCCUAUUGCGAACGGAGGAUGCAUAAUGGCGCCGACGACCGUGCAUCAAUCGGCUCUGAAUAAGGAGUCCAUGGCAGUAAUAAGAAGGGACUCUUUUCCCCAAAUGAUGGGCUUCGGAAGUAGGGGGUGCGCCGCAGCGACGCAGUCCGAAAGCGGGUAACGCGUUUAAGGAA
RNAcentral lists this ribosomal RNA (453 nucleotides) under uncultured Chloroflexota bacterium. RNAcentral describes it as "uncultured Chloroflexi bacterium partial 16S ribosomal RNA". Lineage: Bacteria; Bacillati; Chloroflexota. The record is from RNAcentral.